This 497-nucleotide ribosomal RNA is filed under the name uncultured bacterium. Its description in RNAcentral is "partial 16S ribosomal RNA". It matches the Rfam family "Bacterial small subunit ribosomal RNA", at positions 28 to 507 of the family's 1533-position model. The record is from RNAcentral.
GAUGAACGCUGGCGGCGUGCCUAAUACAUGCAAGUCGAGCGAACAGACGAGGAGCUUGCUCCUCUGACGUUAGCGGCGGACGGGUGAGUAACACGUGGAUAACCUACCUAUAAGACUGGGAUAACUUCGGUAAACCGGAGCUAAUACCGGAUAAUAUAUUGAACCGCAUGGUUCAAUAGUGAAAGACGGUUUUGCUGUCACUUAUAGAUGGAUCCGCGCCGCAUUAGCUAGUUGGUAAGGUAACGGCUUACCAAGGCAACGAUGCGUAGCCGACCUGAGAGGGUGAUCGGCCACACUGGAACUGAGACACGGUCCAGACUCCUACGGGAGGCAGCAGUAGGGAAUCUUCCGCAAUGGGCGAAAGCUUGACGGAGCAACGCCGCGUGAGUGAUGAAGGUCUUCGGAUCGUAAAACUCUGUUAUUAGGGAAGAACAAAUGUGUAAGUAACUAUGCAUGUCUUGACGGUACCUAAUCAGAAAGCCACGGCUAACUACGUG